AUUGAACGCUGGCGGCAGGCCUAACACAUACAAGUCGAACGGCAGCACAGAAGAGCUUGCUCUUUGGGUGGCGAGUGGCGGACGGGUGAGUAAUGUCUGGGAAACUGCCCGAUGGAGGGGGAUAACUACUGGAAACGGUAGCUAAUACCGCAUAACGUCGCAAGACCAAAGUGGGGGACCUUCGGGCCUCACACCAUCGGAUGUGCCCAGAUGGGAUUAGCUAGUAGGUGGGGUAAUGGCUCACCUAGGCGACGAUCCCUAGCUGGUCUGAGAGGACGACCAGCCACACUGGAACUGAGACACGGUCCAGACUCCUACGGGAGGCAGCAGUGGGGAAUAUUGCACAAUGGGCGCAAGCCUGAUGCAGCCAUGCCGCGUGUAUGAAGAAGGCCUUCGGGUUGUAAAGUACUUUCAGCGGGGAGGAAGGCGGUGAGGUUAAUAACCUUGCCGAUUGACGUUACCCGCAGAAGAAGCACCGGCUAACUCCGUGCCAGCCGCCGCGGUAA
RNAcentral lists this ribosomal RNA (506 nucleotides) under uncultured bacterium. RNAcentral describes it as "partial 16S ribosomal RNA". It matches the Rfam family "Bacterial small subunit ribosomal RNA", at positions 30 to 523 of the family's 1533-position model. The record is from RNAcentral.